CCUACGUGAGGCAGCAGUGGGGAAUAUUGCGCAAUGGGCGAAAGCCUGACGCAGCGACGCCGCGUGAGGGAUGAAGGUCUUCGGAUCGUAAACCUCUGUCAGCAGGGAAGAACGGUCACUGUGCUAAUCAGCAGUGAAUUGACGGUACCUGCAAAGGAAGCACCGGCUAACUCCGUGCCAGCAGCCGCGGUAAUACGGAGGGUGCGAGCGUUAAUCGGAAUUACUGGGCGUAAAGCGCUCGUAGGCGGUAUGUCAAGUCAAGGGUGAAAUCCCCGCGCGCAACGUGGGAACUGCCUUUGAAACUGGCAAACUGGAGUGUGUGAGAGGAUAGUGGAAGUCCAGGGGUAGGAGUGAAAUCCGUAGAUAUCUGGAGGAACAUCAGUGGCGAAGGCGACUAUCUGGCACAUAACUGACGCUGAGGAGCGAAAGCGUGGGUAGCAAACAGGAUUAGAUACCCCAGUAGUC
This 465-nucleotide ribosomal RNA is filed under the name uncultured bacterium. RNAcentral describes it as "partial 16S ribosomal RNA". It matches the Rfam family "Bacterial small subunit ribosomal RNA", at positions 338 to 795 of the family's 1533-position model. The record is from RNAcentral.